GUUCGCGCCCGGGCCGGCGGGGUCUGCGUGUCCGCCGAGCGGCGGGGCUGCUGAGGCCGGACGCACACGGCCGGGGUCUUAAUUGCCCCUCCGGCCUGCUCCGAUCCGCUGCGAUAUCGCGGCCUGCGCUGCGGCGGUCGUCCGCAGCCCGGCCCUCGUCCCCCGCUCCUUUGGUAGCUCCGCCACCCUUCCGCAUUCCUGGGCCCGCUGGGCGCGGCUGGGCAGGCCGCUGGAAUUUGACCCGAGUGGGCCGCGAUCGGCCGAGGAUUUGGGGUCCCCUUUGACCCAGGCGGGGCGCGAUCCGCCUAGGAUUUGGGGUCCCCUGGCGCCGAACCCUGAGUUGCCAGAUGUAGCAAGUAAAAGUACAGUUCUUCUAAAUUUGAAUUUCAGACAAGACAGGUUUUAGGGUUCGUCUCAUGUAAUGUUGAGAAGGUGAGGGCGGCGCCUGGGCGGAUUCUUCUCCGUUCCAGAAUCCCUUUCUCUUUUCAAACCGCAUUACAGCCCGAGUUAAAUUCUUUAACCUACUCCUCUCUGCUUACCCUCAUAAGGUUUACGGCCGUAUCAGGCUACGGCCGCAGCCUACGGCUGUUUGAUUCCCCUUUUGGCCACAAGAAAGUUUUAUUCGAACUACUUGCUUUCCUUUAUCAAGAAAAUGGCAACGCACACACAUACAUGCACACACAAAUAAAAACACAAAGCUACGUUUUUCAGGUUUUGUUCUAGAUCGUGUUUGUGGCUGUGUUCUUCAGGAUAUUUUCCCUCACCUUGAGGUAAUCUAGCAUUACUUCAUCUAGCAUUACUAAAAUAGCAUUACUUCAGGAUGGUGGAGGAUCGGCAAUCUAAUAGCAAAUCUUUAUUGAACUCUUCUUACUGCCUUAACAUGUGCCGGAUGCUGAGAGAUGAAUUCAAAGCCUCUUAGGGAGUUUAUAUUCUAGAAAUCUUUGAUCAGAAAUUCCUAGAAGAGAGGGACCUUGUGUUCAGCACUCUGUAGCAGUUCUUAAACAGUAGCACGCAUAAUAACAGGGCUUUUAAAAACAUUUUUGAGCCUCAAAACCGGGUAUCAGGAUUCAGUGAGUAAGGGGUGGAGGAUAAUUCGAAUUUCUGGUAAGCACACAUGAUGCUGAUGGGGUGGUCGCCAUCCCAGCAGCACAGCUCUAAACGCGGUUCAUAACUGUGUGUAUUUUCUCAAUAGUGUUAGAAAAGCAAUUGCUGAAAAGUCACACCUGGUUCUACAAUAUUUACUCUUAGGUUUUGGUUCGAUAGUCUAAAUUAAAAAAAAAAAAGUUUCUAGAAUUGUGCUGUCCAAUACAAUCGUCACUAACCACAUGCAGCUAAACUUAAAUUUAGUUCCUCAGUUGUAUUUGAUACGUUUUAUUUUUAGAGAUGGGGUCACCCUAUGUUGCCUAACCUGGAAUGCACUGGCUAUUCACAGGCGUGAUCAUAAUGCACUACAACCUGGAACUCCUGGCCUCAAGCGAUCCUCUCACUUGAGCCUCCCAAGUAGUUGGGACUACAGGUGAGAGACACCGCACCAGUGCGUCUGGCAGUAUUAGACACUUUUUUUUUUCUUGAGACGGAGUCUUGCUCCGUCGCCCAGGCUGGAGUGCAGUGGUUUGAUCUCGGCUCACUGCAACCUCUGCCUCCCGGGUUCAUGUGAUUCUUCUGCCUUAGCCUCCCGAGUAGCAGGGACUACAGGCCUGUGCCACGACGCCCAGCUAAUUUUUGUAUUUUUAGUAGAGACGGGGUUUCACCAUGUUGGCCAGGAUGGUCUCAAUCUCUUGUCCUCAUGAUCCGCCCACCUGGGCCUCCAAAAGUGCUGGGAUUACAGGCGUGAGCCACCGCGCCUGGCUAGUAUUAGACACAUUUUAAGUGCUCAAUAGCCACAUGUGGUUAGUGUCCUUAUUGUAUGGCACAGAGAGCAUUUCCUUAAUUACAGAAGCUUCUAUUUGACAGCACUAUUCUGAAGAAAUAAUUCUAAGGUAUAUUGUUCUCUCUAGAUG
RNAcentral lists this long non-coding RNA (2000 nucleotides) under Homo sapiens (human). Its description in RNAcentral is "non-protein coding lnc-MYOM1-1:3". Lineage: Eukaryota; Metazoa; Chordata; Mammalia; Primates; Hominidae. The record is from RNAcentral.